GAUUGUAUGAUGAAGAAAAUCAGACGGAUUCCCAUUGAUUUUCCGAAACAUGAUGUCACAACCAGCUACUUCUGACUCUC
This 80-nucleotide small nucleolar RNA is filed under the name Cephalotus follicularis. RNAcentral describes it as "Small nucleolar RNA R12". It matches the Rfam family "Small nucleolar RNA R12". Rfam says of the family: snoR12 is a C/D box small nucleolar RNA, which acts as a methylation guide for 25S ribosomal RNA in plants. snoR12 has been alternatively named snoZ44 in Arabidopsis and snoZ131 in rice. The record is from Rfam by way of RNAcentral. Lineage: Eukaryota; Viridiplantae; Streptophyta; Magnoliopsida; Oxalidales; Cephalotaceae.